CACUCUUUGGUUUGACUGGCCUCAAACUUACUGUGGAACAGAGGCUGUCCUUGAACUUCUGAUCCUCAACUCCCAAGUACUGGGACUGCAAACGCAUCUACCAUGCUUGGCCUAGAGAGAGAGGGGGAGGAGAUGGAUAGGAGAGGAGAAGAGAGGGAGGAGGGGGAGAGGGAAAGGGAAGAAAAAGAAGGGAAGAGGUCGCUUGCCCCUGCCUCCAGAUCAUGGGAUUCAAGGCACGCACCACCAACACCUGACUACAACUCACUUUUUAACCUACAGUAGUAUAUUUCUGAGACUUUUCCAAGGUGAUACACAUGACACAUCAGUGUUGCCUGUGAAGGAUGGAGUCUUCCAUCACAUAGAGGGACUCCAUUUUGACAGCCAAGAACCUUUCUGCCAGAGUCCAGCCUAGUUCUCUCUGACUAUUAGCAGCUUGAAUUAUUUUGGUGUUUGUGGUGCUGGAGAUUAGACCCCAGGGCUUUGUGGAUGCCAGGCAAGGAAUCUACCUCUGAGCUACAUCCUCAGCUGAACUCUGAAUUCUUACUACAUGACCUGGAAGACCUCACUCAUUUGUCAGGAGCCUCCUCAGUGAGAGGUCUGGAUCCUCUCCAGAUGAAACUUCAUUGAAGAAUGGGUCUCUUGCUCAACCUAGAGCUUACCAAUCCAUCUAAGAUGGCUGGCCAGCAAGGCCUAAGAGUCUCCCUGUCCUGUCAGUGCUGGGACUGCAGGUACAUACUGCUGUGCCUGGCUUUCAUGAGGGUGCUACUGAUGCUCUCUUGGUACAGUGGGCUGAGCUGGUAGCGUGAGAAGACAAGCAAAGCAGCCGUGGCAGCAACAGCAAUGGCAAGAGGGCAUCCAGAGUUCCAGAGAGAGAUGCAGAGACAGGCAAGAUGAUACAGGACCCUGGAAAUAGAGGUUAUCCAAGGCCAAAGAUGAGGGAUGCAGGCCCUGACCGCUGGAAGAGUUCCUGGAAGCUGCUAAGCCUUGAGAGUUGAUGGUCCUUACACCCAUAGCAGCAUGCAAGAUGUAAAGGGAUAUGGCUGAGGUUUGAGAGCUCCAACACUAGGUGAUGUUCGCUGCUGCUGCUGCUGCUUCUGUUGUUGUUGUUGCUGCUGCUGCUUCUGAGUCUGAGGUUACACUGGCUGCUACUGAGAGCUGGUCUAUUGACAAAGCCCAGAGACAUUAAAGCCUCUAGGGUGAGUCCCUACAGCCAUAGGUCUGUGGACCCUAAAGCUUGGAGCCAUUAGCUUUUAGUUCUUGGGACAUAAAGCUAUACGGUUCUGAGUCUGUCAGCCAGCCCACAAGCUUUUGACACUCAAGGGACCGGGUCUACCAAUACUAAAAUAGUUACCUCCCUUUAACUAUGAUUUCUAUUUGAGAAGACCAACGGGCCCUCCCGAGUCAGCUGACUAGUAACAGCAAGAUGCCUCUUAGAAAAGAAUUUAUGACUGGUAAGGUGGCCUAGGGUGUAAAAGUGCUUGUCCCUACCCAUAACAACCUGAGUUCAUUCUCUAGGAUACACAUGGUAGUCAGAGACUAGCUACCCUCGCAGGUUAUCUCCUGACCUCUAUACUUCCACAGCAAGUAUGCGUGCUGAUAUGAAAUAAAUAUAAAACAAUUAAAGUAAAGUCAUAUUAACAUGAAGGACCACUACCCAUUUUAUACAGCCAUACAAAAACUCAAAGAUACUGAUAAACACAUGGCAGAGGUGGGUAAAGGGGGAGAUAGGGCUACAAAGAAAUGCAUGAGAUAGCCACAGUGACCCCCAGGUGGUCCCCAGGAUCUGGGAGUCUGAGGCAAGAGGACUGCCACCAAUUUGAGCUGCCUUGGGCUGGCUACAAAGUGACUUUGAGGCCAGAGACAGUGAAUUGUCAACUGACAAAGAAUUCUACCUUCCGUACCAGUCUCAAGAUGGCCACACCCUAGAUAAAUAACAGUGACCAGUCUUAGAAGAGCUGCAGUUUCUGGCCAACGAUUUUUACCGGUGAGUGGAGAUGUGGGGCCCAGCAGAACCAGUCUGGAAAGAAAUUAGUCAGUUAUUAUCAAAAAGUGGCACCGGUUACUGGUUUGCUCAGCCCUCUGCCAGACUGAAGAAGGUGAAGACAAAGGACUGUCAGAACUCAAACUUGUGAAUGCCCCCGGGUCCUGCCGGUCGGUAGGAGAAUCGAAACUCAUUUCUUUAAAAUACCUAUGACUGUAAACCGUGUCAUUAAAAAAAAAAAAAAUCUCCUUUAAUCCUCAUGAGCUCAGGGAAGUGAGUUGAAGAAUGUGUGCCAUUCUUUGACCUCUUUAUGAAGAACACGCACUCCUGUACUAAAUUCUUAUUAAAAACUUCCUGUGUGUGCCCCGGACACAACCGCGAACAAAAACGUGAAGGGCUCCAUCCUCAUGAGGGAUGGGAGUGGUGGGAACAGACAUUAGCAGGUAAUUUGACACACUAAGUCACUGUGUUUGUCAAUGGUGGCCAGGGAAGACCAGCUUGCCUUUGAGGAGGUGAGGACAUGUAUGGUGUGUUUAAAAUUGGGGAGGGAAGCUAGCCCAGCUCUCGUGGGUCUUCACGGACAUUUAAAAAAGGAUUUGGAGGGGGCAUUGAAAUGGCUCAGCAGGUAAAGUGCCUGCCACCAAGCCAGACA
Molecule: long non-coding RNA, 2633 nt
Organism: Mus musculus (house mouse)
Lineage: Eukaryota; Metazoa; Chordata; Mammalia; Rodentia; Muridae
Product: predicted gene, 51545
Exons: 3
Source: RefSeq, a predicted model, not a curated record